UGUCUCAUUUCACAGCCCUGCCCGCCUGACGUAAUUGUCUAAAAUCGACAUAUUUUUGUUUAUGUGCGCCCGCUCCCCCGCCCCCAAAAAGCGUGUGGGAAGCUGCUGCCGCCCGCUCCCAAUGACCACGCCUGGAAGCGAAUAUUAUUUAAUCCGCCACCUCCUCCGAAGUUCCUCCUCGCUCCGAUGAGAAUCAUCUGUUGCUGACCGCAGAACACCACGCAAAAUUCACCGCUUUUCUUUGCCAAGAUGAACCGCUCUGAACCGAUCAAUAUUCGGAGGGAGCGUUCCUUCGACAGCGUUCUGAAUCGCCUGCUCCGGAUGAGGUCCCAGAACCAUGAGAGUUUUCGCGCCGCCAUGUAUAACUUCUUAAUUGCCGCGGGAGUAGCGGCGUUCGUGGCCGUCUGCAUUAUCCUCGGUCCCUUCGUCCGGCCGCUGCUGUGGGCCUUCCUCAUGGGCGCAGUGCUCUUCCCAUUUAAGCGACGACUGGCGGAGAGCGUGAACAGAUGGUUCAAUCGUCUGGAGGAGCGCGACUCAAACGUACUGGUGUCCAUCUGCCUAUCCCCGCUGGAGGCCACGGAGCACUGUGGCCGGCUGCUGAUCGGAUGGCUCUGCGAGCAUUGGCAGUUGCUCCUGGCCGGAUGCGGAGUGGCCGGGUGCAUUAAGCUGUUGGUCCUGUACGCUCCCAAGGGCUUCCUGCUGGCCCUCUGGUACUGGAUCACUUUUUCGCACGGGUUGUUUGUUCAAAUUAUUGGAUUCCUUAACGUCUAUGUGCUCAUCUCCGUGGUGCUGGUCUACUUGAGCUGCGUCCACUUCUUUUGGAAGCCGGAAAACAGCUCUCAUUUCGUGAUUGCCGGUCAAUCCAUGUGGAUAGCCGUUGCAGGCUACCUAAGUAGCUUCCUAGGUGCCCUGCAGGUGCCUGUGUUCCUGCUGGUCAUGGCCUACGUAACAGCAUCCACUGUAUACCACCUGCAGACGAUAGAUGACUCUGGAUCCUACCUUCACCGCCUGCAGAAACUGUUCGACAAGAACGAUUUCGAGCGAUCGUUGAGCAACUUCAGCAUUUGCGGCAGGCCAAGUAGUGAGCCGCAAAGUCCGGCCUUCCAGUCUGAUGUGGAGGACAUCUCGCUAAGCGACACAGUCGACUCGACGGACACGUUUGAUGCCAAACCUGGAACCGAGGCUUCCAGCCACCAAAGCGAUACGUUCUUUAAGCUAUUGUUUUACGCCUGUCUGGGCACAUUUCUGUAUCGAAACGUGUGGAUGUUUAUUCUGGCCGCAAUUCCAGUACUGCUGCACCUUAUCUAUACAGUUGGAGAUUAUACAGGCAUUACACAGUUUGCUUGCACCAAGGUCAACGAAGUAUAUGCGGCAAUGCGGUUGUGGGCCAUCGAGCACCACUCCGCCGUGCUGCCGCUAUGCCUGCCUGGCGUUUUGGAACUGAACUAUAAACUUAACACUAUUGUGCGAGACUCACUAAAAUCCUCCGUGGAGUCAGUUACCUCGAUCCUCAUGAUUAUCCUCAUGCUGCUCAUAAUUGUGUUUCUGAGUGUGUUCUUUUGCGUAAACAUCUACUCGGAGACGAUUGAGGUGGCAUACCUGGGCAAGGAUCUAAUUAACAAGACGAUCACAGAUCGGCCUGAGCUAAUUGAUAUCUUGCCCGCCAACAUGCAGGCGUCCAUCGAUGAUGCGCUAGAUAAUGCGCACCAUUAUGGCCGCCGUAAGAUUGAGACCUACAUCGACGACUGGCUGGCAGACGCGGACAAGGUUCAUGCCACCAAGCUGAAGGAACAGAUUCUCGAGGUGUGGGACAGACUCAUCCAGUACUGGAUUGACUUCAACAAGGCAGGGAGCUCAUACGGUCCGCGGGUACCCACGGAUGCGCUGAAAAGCACUUUUGGCGAGAUCGUCGACAAUCCAGGGCAUUUUAAAGAGCUAGUUUUAGUGGCAAAACAGGGUAUAAUCGGCUGGGCGCAGAGCAACACGCAGACGAUUCUCGAGGUCGCCGAGUCCCUUUGGCACAUCAUACGAACCAACCUUUCGAUGAUCAUGGGUGUGACCGGAGAAAUUCUAUCCCUGGUGCUGUCUGGUGGACAGGCGUGCAUUGAGUUUAUAUUAGACAUGAUUGUUUUCUUUACGGCUUUGUUCUAUCUGCUCUCAAGCAGUCAGGAAAAGUACGCACCGCUGCAAAUCACCAAGUACCUAGGCUAUUCCAGUUCGGGAAUAAAAAUCGCUGAUGCCCUAGAGAACUCCAUUACAGUGGUCCUUAUGUCCAUGUUCAGGUGCUCAACAUUUACGGGCUUGUUCACCUGGUUGGUUCACACGAUCUUUGGGGCUCGGAUAGUGUUUCUGCCCUCCGCCUUGGCGGCCAUGCUGGCAGCUGCUCCUUUCCUAGGAAGUUACUGGUGUGCAGUGCCAGCCUUCUUAGAGCUCUGGCUUGCCCAGGAUCGCUUUUAUGCAGGACUCUUACUCUUCCUGCUUCAGUUCUUCGUGCCGUCUUCUUUUGAAACGGCCAUCUACGCUGAUCUCAAAGGUGGUGGUCAUCCGUAUCUCAAUGGUCUAGCUAUAGCGGGCGGCAUGUAUUGGAUCGGCUGGCAAGGAGCUAUCUUCGGCCCUUUGAUGCUUUGCUUCUUUAUCGGCCUCUUCGAGGUUGCUACUCUGGCCAUGCGCAGCCAUCAAGAACCCAGGUAACUUAGACUUAAAAAGGCAAUUUCGAUGAUUUUGUUUGAUUUGCAUGCAAAGUAUGAACUUUAUCAGACUUGUGCGGCCCAAGGAUUGAAGCACAGCACUGAUGAGGAGACAAGGACCACGUGAGUUAGCAUGGAACAGAAACUACGAAUUUUCUUAUAAUACUCCAACUGCAAACUAACAUAAUGGCCAAACAUCUGACAAUCAAAACAAUUGGCCCUAGAGUAAGGCCUUUGACUAUUGUUGAUAGGUUCGCAGUUAUUAAUCUUUCCGAUCUGCUAGUUUGAUUCUUAUUUGUUAAAAAUUUGCAAGUGUUUAAGAUUCUGUCUGAACAACAAAUGCUCCUUAAUAUCUAUGCUACUUUUCUUAGUUUUUUUUACAUAUAAUAUGUACCUCGAAUUGUUUGUUUUCGCGAAACAUUUCCAAAGCCGUGAAGUACCGAUGGUGUGCUAGCUACUAGUUGCUUAAUGUAAACUUGUGAUUUGUUUAAACUUAAAUACAAAAUGUGUUGCAAAUAUAUUUCUAUACUAACUGUA
Drosophila rhopaloa is the source of this 3224-nucleotide RNA transcript. It is a transcript of the gene named transmembrane protein 245, with no coding region annotated. The transcript has 8 exons. The record is from RefSeq and is a predicted model, not a curated record. Lineage: Eukaryota; Metazoa; Arthropoda; Insecta; Diptera; Drosophilidae.